RNAcentral lists this transfer RNA (397 nucleotides) under uncultured Microcystis sp. RNAcentral describes it as "bacterial LSU rRNA". The stretch from base 134 to 207 matches the Rfam family "tRNA". Lineage: Bacteria; Bacillati; Cyanobacteriota; Cyanophyceae; Chroococcales; Microcystaceae. The record is from RNAcentral.
AAGGGAGACCUAAUUCAGGUAGGAGACGAAAAAAAGUAGUCCCUACCAAGAAUCAAUCCCAAAAGGUCGGAGCGAGGCAAAAUUGGCUUUCAAACUAGGUUCUGGGUUCACACAAGACCUGAAUCAGGAACAAGGGCUAUUAGCUCAGGUGGUUAGAGCGCACCCCUGAUAAGGGUGAGGUCCCUGGUUCGAGUCCAGGAUGGCCCACCUGCACAGGUGGAAGAAAGAAAAGAAGCUCCGAAUCAGCACCUUAUCUUACUUAUAUAGUAAGAGAGAAUGCUGGCUCUGAGUUCAGAGUCCAGAGGAACCUUGAAAACUGCAUAGAGCUAGGUGAAAAAGCCAAAAAAGAAGACCGCAAGGUCAAGCUAAUAAGGGCUAACGGUGGAUACCUAGGCAC